GUUGUAUGGUUAAGUGACAAAGCGUACAAGGUGGAUGCCUUGGCAAUCAGAGGCGAAGAAGGACGUGCUAAUCUGCGAAAAGCUUGGAUGAGUCGAUAAGAGGCGUUUAAUCCAAGAUGUCCGAAUGGGGAAACCCAGUGGGUGAAGAACCUACUAUCAUUAUCUGAAUUCAUAGGAUAAUGAGGCGAACCGGGAGAACUGAAACAUCUAAGUACCCCGAGGAAAAGAAAUCAACCGAGAUUUCGUUAGUAGCGGCGAGCGAACGCGAAGGAGCCUGUUAGUGAUAAUGACAGAGACAGAGGAACAAGCUGGGAAGCUUGGCGACACAGGGUGAUAGCCCCGUACUCGAAGUCCGGGUUAUGGUACUAAGCUAACGAUAAGUAAGGCGGGACACGUGAUAUCCUGUUUGAAGAUGGGGGGACCAUCCUCCAAGGCUAAAUACUCCUGAUUGACCGAUAGUGAACCAGUACUGUGAAGGAAAGGCGAAAAGAACCCCGGUGAGGGGAGUGAAAUAGAACCUGAAACCUUGUACGUACAAGCAGUGGGAGCCUGAAAGGGUGACUGCGUACCUUUUGUAUAAUGGGUCAGCGACUUAUAUUUUGUAGCGAGGUUAACCGAAUAGGGGAGCCGAAGGGAAACCGAGUCUUAACUGGGCGAUUAGUUGCAAGGUAUAGACCCGAAACCCGGUGAUCUAGCCAUGGGCAGGUUGAAGGUUGGGUAACACUAACUGGAGGACCGAACCGACUAAUGUUGAAAAAUUAGCGGAUGACUUGUGGCUGGGGGUGAAAGGCCAAUCAAACCGGGAGAUAGCUGGUUCUCCCCGAAAUCUAUUUAGGUAGAGCCUUGAGCGGACACCUUCGGGGGUAGAGCACUGUUUCGGCUAGGGGUCCAUCCCGGAUUACCAACCCGAUGCAAACUGCGAAUACCGAAGAGUGAUACUCAGGAGACACACGGCGGGUGCUAACGUUCGUCGUGGAGAGGGAAACAACCCAGACCGCCAGCUAAGGUCCCAAAGUCUAUAUUAAGUGGGAAACGAAGUGGGAAGGCUUAGACAGCUAGGAUGUUGGCUUAGAAGCAGCCAUCAUUUAAAGAAAGCGUAAUAGCUCACUAGUCGAGUCGGCCUGCGCGGAAGAUGUAACGGGGCUCAAAUAUAGCACCGAAGCUGCGGCAUCAGUAGCAAUACUGUUGGGUAGGGGAGCGUUGUGUAAGCGGAAGAAGGUGGCUCGAGAGGGCUGUUGGACGUAUCACAAGUGCGAAUGCUGACAUAAGUAACGAUAAAACGGGUGAAAAACCCGUUCGCCGGAAGACCAAGGGUUCCUGUCCAACGUUAAUCGGGGCAGGGUGAGUCGGCCCCUAAGGCGAGGCUGAAAAGCGUAGUCGAUGGGAAACGGGUUAAUAUUCCCGUACUUGGAUAAACUGCGAUGUGGGGACGGAGCAGGUUAGGUUAGCGUGCUGUUGGAUAUGCACGUUUAAGUUGGUAGGUGGGGAGUUUAGGCAAAUCCGGACUUCCUUAACACUGAGAGAUGAUGACGAGGCUCUACGGAGCUGAAGUAACCGAUACCACACUUCCAGGAAAAGCCACUAAGCUUCAGGUUUAUCUAAACCGUACUGAAAACCGACACAGGUGGUCAGGUAGAGAAUACUCAGGCGCUUGAGAGAACUCGGGUGAAGGAACUAGGCAAAAUAGCACCGUAACUUCGGGAGAAGGUGCGCCGGCGUAGAUUGUAAGGGUUUACCCCUGAAGGUUGAACCGGUCGAAGUGACCCGCUGGCUGCAACUGUUUAUUAAAAACACAGCACUCUGCAAACACGAAAGUGGACGUAUAGGGUGUGAUGCCUGCCCGGUGCUGGAAGGUUAAUUGAUGGUGUUAUCGCAAGAGAAGCACUUGAUCGAAGCCCCAGUAAACGGCGGCCGUAACUAUAACGGUCCUAAGGUAGCGAAAUUCCUUGUCGGGUAAGUUCCGACCUGCACGAAUGGCAUAAUGAUGGCCAGGCUGUCUCCACCCGAGACUCAGUGAAAUUGAAAUCGCCGUGAAGAUGCGGUGUACCCGCGGCUAGACGGAAAGACCCCGUGAACCUUUACUAUAGCUUGACACUGAACAUUGAAUUUUGAUGUGUAGGAUAGGUGGGAGACUAUGAAGAUGAUACGCCAGUAUUGUUGGAGUCGACCUUGAAAUACCACCCUUUAACGUUUGAUGUUCUAACGAAGAUGACGAAACGUGGUCUCGGACAGUGUCUGGUGGGUAGUUUGACUGGGGCGGUCUCCUCCCAAAGAGUAACGGAGGAGCACGAAGGUUUGCUAAUGACGGUCGGACAUCGUCAGGUUAGUGCAAUGGUAUAAGCAAGCUUAACUGCGAGACGGACAAGUCGAGCAGGUACGAAAGUAGGUCAUAGUGAUCCGGUGGUUCUGCAUGGAAGGGCCAUCGCUCAACGGAUAAAAGGUACUCCGGGGAUAACAGGCUGAUACCGCCCAAGAGUUCAUAUCGACGGCGGUGUUUGGCACCUCGAUGUCGGCUCAUCACAUCCUGGGGCUGAAGUAGGUCCCAAGGGUAUGGCUGUUCGCCAUUUAAAGUGGUACGCGAGCUGGGUUUAGAACGUCGUGAGACAGUUCGGUCCCUAUCUGCCGUGGGCGUUGGAGAAUUGGUUGGGGCUGCUCCUAGUACGAGAGGACCGGAGUGGACGCACCGCUGGUGUUCCGGUUGUGUCGCCAGACGCAUUGCCGGGUAGCUAAGUGCGGAAGAGAUAAGUGCUGAAAGCAUCUAAGCACGAAACUUGCCAAGAGAUGAGUUCUCCCAGAUUAUAAAUCUGUAAGGGUUGUUUAAGACGAAGACGUAGAUAGGCAUGGUGUGUAAGUGGUGCGAGCCAUUGAGCUAACAUGUACUAAUUGCCCGAGAGGCUUAGCCAUACAACGCUCAAG
This 2916-nucleotide ribosomal RNA is filed under the name Aggregatibacter aphrophilus NJ8700. RNAcentral's name for it is "bacterial LSU rRNA". It matches the Rfam family "Bacterial large subunit ribosomal RNA". Lineage: Bacteria; Pseudomonadati; Pseudomonadota; Gammaproteobacteria; Pasteurellales; Pasteurellaceae. The record is from RNAcentral.